This 234-nucleotide long non-coding RNA is filed under the name Elaeis guineensis (African oil palm). RNAcentral's name for it is "long non-coding RNA (EGUI_LNC006311)". Lineage: Eukaryota; Viridiplantae; Streptophyta; Magnoliopsida; Arecales; Arecaceae. The record is from RNAcentral.
GGAGCCAGCCCUUCCCAUGUAUGCAACUGUGAACAUGAUAAAUGCUAAUCUUUAUAUAUAUAUAUAUAUAUAUAAAAGAAACCCACUCUAGAGUUCCAUUCGAGGUAGAGCUUCGUGUAGUGUUUUUGCUUAGCAAAUAUUCUUGUGAUUUUGAAGCUGGAUUUUGAAUUGAGUGGCUGUUUAUUAUUUGAUUGUUGGAUUCUUUCGUGGAUGUGAACUAGUGUGGAAGGUGAA